UGGUCUUUGACUCAGUUUAGAGUUCAGAAAAUAAAAAGAGACAUGGCAAACAUUACUACCCUUAGAGCUUGUCGUCUCAAACAUGACAUAACAUUUCUAUGGCUAUAAGAGCAUGCCACCAAAGUCAAAAUGAGAAGUAUAAAGUUAAAGAGUUUCCUACUGAGAAAAAAUUAUAUUUCACAAAGGUGAUUGAUUGGCCCUGCAUGAGAUGUUAGGAUCAUUAAUUGCUUCUCAAGUUCUAUGAAGUGGAGAUAAAAGCCAGACAGUAUUUGAAGAGGCAUUCAGAUAUCAAAGGAUAAGUACGAGUCAAGGGAAAGGAGAAGUUAUUUUAGCAGUGAUUCCCUGCAUGAGAUGUUAGGAUCAUUAAUUGCUUCUGGAGUUCUAUGAAGUGGAGAUAAAAGCUUGAUAGUACUUGAAGAGGAGGCAUUCAGAUAUCAAAGGUUUUAUUAAGGGAAAGGAGAAGUUAUUUUAGCAGUGAUUGAAUAUUGGAAAAUCAUCAAAAAUGAUUGAGAGUUCAACACUACAAAUUAUCUUAAUUGAAACUUGAUGCAUAACUGUUCUGUAGGAGCUUAUUUAGUUUCCAA
Molecule: long non-coding RNA, 584 nt
Filed under: Solanum tuberosum (potato)
Lineage: Eukaryota; Viridiplantae; Streptophyta; Magnoliopsida; Solanales; Solanaceae
Description: long non-coding RNA (STUB_LNC006832)
Source: RNAcentral